UGAAUUAUAUGAUAGAUAUAUAGAAGAAACACACUACUGAGAACACUUGAAUAAGAUCUAUUUUAAGACAAAAAUCAUCAAUUUGUAAAAGCUCUGUCAUUUUCAAAACUCAAAACUUUACACUUAAAAAAAAUAAAAGCUUUGCAUGUCACAGGAGAGGACUCAGAUUCGCCUUUUCUCAGACAAAUUAGAGGAUAUACUCAUCCGCCAUGGCUGCUAAUUCCUUAUAGCCCUGCCAUGAAAGAGAGUGUUACCACAAUGUCUGGUCUAUUGACUUCUUAAGAAUCAUCAUAGUCGAGCUUAACCCAAAAAAACAACCUCCGGGAGCAGAGCCUCAUACUUAAACUAAUGAAGGUCAAGAACCCUAAAAAAUCUCUCCUUUUUGGGAAAUUUAUAGUACCCAAUUUCCAGUUUCACCCUCAGAUGAUUAUUCAACACUCGGACCGAUGAAAGGGUAUUUCGGUCAUUAAAGAAAAAAUACAAAAAGUGCCAGUGACGGUUAACUAAACCGGAUUCAGGUUUACUUAACCGGUUUUAGGAGUCCUCGUGAAAUCAUUCAGGUUUACAUGGGAAGGUGGAAGUUGGGUGGGAAUUAUUUUGUAGCCUCGGCCUUAAAGGAGUGAAGCACAAUGAUCUUAGGAUUUUGUAGGAGAGGUUUAAAGGAGGAAGCAGAUGCCUUGUUCAAUAAAAUGAAAGAAAACCCAAAUAGUGGUACCUAAUUAGGGUACGUCUUAGAGAUGGUGACACAGCUGUGUCUGGUGGAGAUGCUUCAACAAUAAUUUUGGUCACUAAAUAUGUUGCAUGAUGGGAGAUUGGACAAAAGCUUUCUUGAAACAGUUUCAUUAUCCUCUAGAGAAGAGGAGUGGUAGAGCAUCCAUCUUUCGUUCAAAGCAACUGUGAGGUGAAUCAGCUUUUUAAUUAUAUUGCUUUUUUCAUGUGAUUACUUCUUGACGCAGUUUACGUUUUCAUGUUAAAGUUGUUUUGUGUCCGAGCUGCUUCAUGGACAAGACUGGUGUUACUCUUUGUUCUUUCCUUGAUAGGUUGCAAACACACUUGUUAAUCAGUGAUGAGAGUCUACAUUAUAAGAACUUUAUUUCGCAAGCUAAUCUAUGUACAAGAGACCAUUUUGAUUGGAAUUGAGAUAAGUGCAUGGUGGUAAUCCAGCUUGGUUCAGGCUUAAGUAUCCGUAUAUAGCAAUCGGUGCUUUAGCACCCUCCGCUCAUACUCUUCAGUUUGAUAAGAUUAUUCGUCUUGAAGCUUCUAUGAGACCGUUUCGCAGGAUUUCAAGGUCUGUAUAUUUCUAACACAGUUGGUACAAAAAAGUAUAUUCAAUGAAAGCUGUUAAGAGCUUCUCAUGCCUCUUGCUAAGAGCCGGACGUGAUUGUUAACUGUUUGAAGUCAUCAAGAGAAGCUGGAGGUUUUUUUCCACCAUGAAAGCUAGCUGGUUACAAGAACUCAACAAAAAGUUCAGAACUUGGAAGUAAAAAUCUGCAGCUUUCCCUCAUUGUUGACAAAGCUGCGCUCUCUAUCUUUUGAUGAUCUAUUGUCUAAUCCUUAACAAUCACAGGGAUCUUCACUCUGUCACUUCAGCCUCAAGGUGGCUAGAGUCAGCCUUUAUCGAUACAGCAAUGGUUAAUUGUCCAACUCCAUCAAAUUCCAUGGCUCCACUGCCUGCUUAUCCGGUGGAGGAGGUAAUACAUGUUAGAGUGUACAAAGUACUAUCUUUAUUAAUUGUACUGGUUUAUUCACAAUGAGACAUCCUCCUAUUACAUCAGUCUGCAAGAUCAUUGAAGACGGAGAAGCCAGCAAACUUGAUCGUGCAUUUGCAGCUGCAAACUAUUCAGAUUCAGAGAAUUGCUUCGAUAUUGAAAACCAAACUGAUCCUCAUGGAUUCAUUCAAUGGUUGGGAUUGGCAGGUAUUCAAGAGUCUAUCUGUUUCUCCUUGUUAUUCAACUUACUUAAUGGAUCAGUGCUACUAUCAGAUAUAUGAAAAAAAAAAGGAUUGCACAGAUAUGGUAAUGCCAAUAAACUAUUCGAACCAGAACAUGUUUCCACCAUUUGAAAAUGAUGACAAAGGAGACCAAGACCCCACUGGACUACCACCGAGGUUUGUUCAAGUUUUUUCUCUUUUCUUUUCCAAAUAACAGACCUAAAGCUCAGCUUUUAAUCCGAGUCUGUUAAUUGCGGAGAAUAUAGAUGGUGUUGAAGAGAUUUGGUAACAACAUUAUAUUCUCCAAUACCAAUAGAAUGCAGGAUCCAUGGAGCAGAGAAGGGUAAGUCACUCAUUCCAUAUUCCAUGUCAAUAUAAUGAACAAGGAAACUGAACCCUGUUUGGUUUAAAGCAGGAACUCACCAUACACAUCUCAGGGCUGCUACGAAGACGACCCUGCGUGAAUGAACAGAGGAGGCAAGAAGUUGCUGAGAUUGAGAAAUGGAUCAGUGAGUAUUACACUGAUCUGAGACAAGAAGAGCAAGCCAAGUAAAAGGACCAAACACAACAUUAGAAACAUUGUCUGUGAUGAGAUCGUCCAAGAGUACAAAAUUAUCGAAUUAUUUUUUCUCCCAACCAACACAAUUACGUUAAAUUAUGUAGUGGAAGUCCCAUGCUAGAAAUCCGUUGGAUUUGUAAUCAACCCGAGUUUUAAAGGAUUUCAUUGCUUAUGAUGAAACAAAAGACACAAACAUGUAACCAUAUUGGACCGGGAGCUUCCUUAUAAAAUUCAGCUAGUGAUUUAUUAAACAAAAUAGGUGAUUAAGCAUGAUGCGGGGAUAGCUCAGUUGGGAGAGCGUCAGACUGAAGAUCUGAAGGUCGCGUGUUCGAUCCACGCUCACCGCAUUUUUUUGUUUUUUUUUCACACCAAAUUAAAAACAUAAUAAAGAUAGAGAUAGCGAUGCAAGAUAGAACAACUCAAAUUAAAUGAUACAUUUUAUCAAAAAAAAAGUUAAUUGAUAUAGUUAAUUAUCCGUUCAUCGGUUAAGUCGGUGAAUAUAAACUAAUGUAUUCAUGCAUCCUAUGUAUGCGUUAGUUGGGAGAGAUCAGACUGAAGAUUUGAAGGUCGCGUGUUCGAUCCACGCUCACCGCAUUUUUCAUUUUUUUUUCCACACCAAAUUAAAAACAUAAUUAAGGUAGACAUCGUGAUGCAAGACAUAACAAUCCAAGUUAACUGAUACAUUUUAUCAAAAAAAAAAAGUUAAUUGAUAUUGAAAAGAUUUGUUUUUUCUUGUUAUUGGGAUAUUCCGAGUUAAUUAUCCGUUCACCGGUUUAAGUCGGUGAAUAUGAAUAAUAAUGUACUCAUGCAUCUUAUGUAUGCGUCAGUUGGGAGAGCAUCAGACUGAAGAUCUGAAGGUAGCGUGUUCGAUCAACGCUCACCGCAUUUUUCAUUUUUGUUUUUUUUUUCAUACCAAAUUAAGAACAUAAUAAAGAUAGAGAUAGCGGUACAAGACAGAACACCCAAGUUAACUGAUACAUUUUAUAAAAAAAAAAAAAGUUAACUGAUACUAAAAAGAUUUUUAUUCUUGUUAUUGUAUUCGGAGUUAAUUAUACGUUCAACGGUUUAAGUCGGUGAAUAUGAACAAUAAUGUACUCAUGCAUCCUAUGUAUGCGUCAGUUGGGUGAGCAUCACACUGAAGAUCUGAAGGUCGCGUAUUCAAUCCACGCUCACCGCAUUUUUCAUUUUUUUUUUCACACCAAAUUAAGAACAUAAUAAAGAUAGAGAUAGCGAUGCAAGACAGAACAACCCAAGUUAACUAAUACAUUUUAUUAGAAAAAAAAAAAGAAAGUUAACUGAUAUUGAAAAGAUUUUGUUUUUCUUGUUAUUGGGAUAUUCCGAGUUAAUUAUCCGUUCACCGGUUUAAGUCGGUGAAUAUGAACAAUAAUGUACUCAUGCAUCCUAUGAAUUACAAAUAAUGAGAAUAUUAAGUUUUGUUCCCAAAUUUAGCACAUCAUCUACAAAGUUCCAAAAAUAGCACAAAUUUAAUAUAAAACUAUAUUUAAUAUGUACCUUAAAUUGAAAAUAAGGAAUCCAAAUAAGGGAAAUGAUCAUCGGAUUCAAAGAUGUCAAGAUAUUUGGCUAGACUUAAUUCGGUAAAGAAGUUGUUUUCUUAUCGGGAAUAAUGCAAAUUAAAUGCUGAACUUUUUCAUUACGUCGUUUUUAAUCCCCAACUUUUCCUGAAACGAUUUAAAUGCUGAACUUUCUUUGACUUUCCAUUUAAAUGUCAAACUUUGUUUGACUUUUCCAUUUAAGACCCGACGUUCAUAACCCUAGAAAUUGAUUACACUUCGAUGGCACACCACGGACUCCGACAACGUUCGAUGUUAUAGAACUUGAACUCAUUAUACCAAGUUGAGAGAAUCACAAGAAUGAAUCCAAAAGAGAAUGAGUAAAUCCCAGAAGAGAAUGAGAGAAAUCUGAAGCUUUCGAUUUCUAGGGUUAUGGGUUUGGGGAUUUUUCGAUUUGGGGCAAAUGAGUUUGAUUGGGGUUUUGUAAAUUCAAAAAACGACGUCGUUUAUGUGUAUUAAAACGGCAUCGUUUUAAUUUAAGAGGAGCUAUUAACGGCAUUUAAUCGGCGUUUAAUUGUUCCGUUGAUCGACUUAACGUCGGGUCUUAAAUGGCAAAGUCAAAUAAAGUUUGGCAUUUAAAUGGAAAGUCAAAAAAAGUUUACUAUUUAAAUCGUUUCAGGCAAAGUUGAGGAUUAAAAAUGACGUAAUGAAAAAGUUCAUCAUUUAAUUGGCAUUUUUCCCUUUUCUUAUCUCAUUGUUUGACCUAUCUUAUGUUGAAAUACUUCUUUGACCCAUUGUUUUUCUUGUUUGAAGGCAGUCAGGACCGGCCCAAAUUCUUUGGAUGCCUAAAGCAAAAAUAUUUUUGGCCCAUUAACAAAAUCUGUCAAAAAAGCAAAAAAUACAAGUUUUAACAUUUAUGGGAAUCGAAACUGUGACCUGGACAUUAAUAAUGUUCGGACAGACCACGGUAACAUUUUUAAAAAAUGAUGCCCAUAAACUACUUAUAAUUAUUGCUGCCUAAAGCCCUCGCUUCAUGGGCUUUAGCCAUGGGCCGGCCCUGGAAGGCACUAUCGGAUUCGUGCUUUGAAGCGUAAUUUUCAAUCUUACAACGAUGAGUCCUUUCAACAAUUCUACCUUCACCGAGAUCUGCGUCAUGCAAUCCAAGAAGUUUGGUGUUAGCUAUUUUGUAAUGAGAAUCCAUAGUUGAACUCCUCGUGAUGUAGAUUUUUGUUUUUCUAAGUAGUUGUUUUGUUGUUAGAUGGAGUUUGUUAGUGAGAUCUAAUGUUGGUUGAGUGUAGUGUACAGUUUUACACUAUGCAUUGAGUUUUUUUUUUUUUUUUUUCAUCAAACACCAUUUCUAUUAAGAUAUCGGAAAGAGACUCUCCGGGAGAGUCUCUUUCUUUCUUUUUUUUUUUUUGAUAACAAAAAAAAAAAAAAGACUCUCCGCUAGAGAGAGCCAAUCAGGAACCGAUGAACUUACAUGGGAGAAGAGACUGUUACGAGCCCGAGCUUUUUUGGCUAACAAGUCUGCUCGAGUAUUAGAACUACGAGGAAGAAAUCUAACAUUAAAAGAAGGGAAAAAACAAACGAGUGACCGAAAAGAGGUCAUUUCUGCUGCAAAAGUUGGCCAAACGUCUUGGUUGUCGAGGAGAGAAAUCAUGUCAGAGCAAUCGGAUGCGAAGGCGCCAGUGGUAAUGCCUAGCGAGAUCAUACAUUCCAUUGCCUAAAGCAAGGAAUCAAUUUCCGCGUGGAGCGGUGAGAGACUUCUUCUCGAACUCUUUAGGCCAAGAUGAAGAAUGUGGUCUUGGUCGACUAAAACCCAACCAUGUCCACUUAGGGUAUCCUCCGUAUGCCAGGAAGCAUCAAUCUAACAUUCCGAGAUCCGGGGAAGAGAAGAGUGGGGUAGAACUGAGCGGGCAAGAGGCUCGGGAUCUGCCGCAUCUUUCAAGUUAGCUUGCUUCCAGACAGAAGCUUCUCGUAAAGCCAAGGCCAAAGUCUCCAAAGGGGGUUCUUUGAAGUUUUCAAAUAGAAAACGAUUACGGCUUUUCCAGAUAUACCAUAGUAUCCAUGGAAAGAGUUCUAAAACAUCCUCCUCUAUUCCAAACUCUCGACCUCGCCAGAAGAGGAAAUCGAAGUUGUAGAAGAGGGAAUUUCUAGGGAAGAUGUGUCCGGAAGAGGGAAUAGGUGAUAAUGCCCAAAUUUGUCUCGAGGGCGGGCAUUCAAAAAGAAGAUGGUUAAUAGAUUCUUCUUCCCCUCCGCAGCGAGGGCAAACUUUGUCGGUACCAAUAUGUCGGUAGACAAGUUUUUGGCUUGUCGCUAGACAACCCGAGAUACAUUACCACGCGAAAUGCAUAAGCUUCCGCGUAGUUUUAAGCUUCCAUACUUGUGCAUGAAGAGUCGAAACACCCGGUCCCUGAAAAGGGGGGUCACAAGUAGGACGAGACAGAGCUCUCCCGGCCCAAUUGUGGAAGUCGGAUUCACACACUCAAGUAUUUUGUUAAGUGGGAAAGAUUAUUCUUGAGGGACAAAAAUAAAUAUGUAAAAAACUUAUAAAUCGAUACGAAAAUUGCUAUAGUAUUUCUCUCUUGAGAGGAAGAUCCCCUUUUCAUGGCCAUUGGCCUCUAUAUUUAUACAUAAAUAAACGACAUUAAAAUGAGUAAUUAAGCACAAUUAUUUCUUCUUAAAUGUGUCCGUUUUGAUUCUUCGGCUUUAAUGCUCAACGUUUGAAUUUGAGUUGACUCUGAUCUUCAUGGGCCUCGCCUCUUUUGGCCCAAGUGUCCUUGAACCGACUUGCCCAUGCCUUUUUCAUUGAACUCGUGUCACAGUGCAGUCACUUCGGAUUCUCGAAAUGGUGACAACCAUUUCGAACAUCCCUUCGGCUCACGGGUCCAAUGGGCUUCAUCCUUUAUGGGCCAUUACCCUGAUUACGUGGCAAUCUUUGGUUGGUCUCGUACUUCUGGUGCGGGAUCCGACACCAACAAUUAGCCCCCCAAGUUCUUCGAAGUGCUAUUCCAAUUCGGAGGACUUUAAAUGCUCAAGUGGCCAAAGAUUGCGCUCGAGAAUCUUUAUGAUUUCCCGCCGAAAAUCCCAUCACUCCUUUAAUUUCGGCAAUAGCCAUUUUUAACCGAGUGACAUCUGUCAUCAUUAUGACCGUAUAUUGAUUAAUUACUAUUAAAACGGGAAAAACCUUCCCACUUCCCACACGACUUCCGAGGCGGUUUCAUCAUUAGCUUGAGGUAACUUCUUUUCACCAUUACUCUCUUCUUUUACUUUUGUACUUUAAUCAAAACCUCUCUCUUCGUUCCUUCACCAAAACCCUUCUUCGCCGGAUCUUGAAUUUUUCUUUCUUCCCAAUGACUUCUGAUUCCGAUAGACCCGAGUCUCCGUCUUUCGACGAGAGGCGUUCUAGUAACGACGAGUGCACCCGCCCUGGUGACAUUGCCGGUCCGCACUAUAGGUCCACUUGUACUCUUCAAUCCCUCGAGCGGUUGAAAGAGCUUUGCCGGAUUCCGCCGGAAAUUAUGGCGGAAGCACAAAUAGCUUCCCCCACAGAAUCCCCAGAGAACCAUCGUGAUGGUUACUUCUGUGUGUAUGAAAUUUAUUUCAAAGGUUGCGGGCUGACCUUUCCUCUUCCCGAAGCCCUAGUUCUAUACCUAGCGGCUCUUGAAAUCGCUCUUCCCCAAUUAACCCCAAAUCUUCUCCGUACUAUUCUUGGAAUUAUAACAAUCGCGGCGGAGGCCGGUUACGUUAUCGGAGUUGCUGAACUAAAUGAGCUUCUGAGCGUGAGAAGUUCAUCGAAGAAAACGGGGUAUUUCUCAGCAUAUCCCAAUGCCAACAGGAACAUCAUUUCACAUCUUCCGAACAAGGAUGAAAAUUGGCAUCAUCCUUGGUUUCUAAUUAAGAAAACUCCCGCUUCGAUUGGAAAUCUCGCAGAUUUUCUCCCUUCGAAGUGGUCUGCGAAACCCGGUAGUGAUUAGGUUGCCCGUAUCUUUUCCGAUUGUUUCUUUAUCUUUAUUGGCUAACACCGUUGUUUCAUUUCGCAGCUUUCAUCGCUUCCAAUCUCCCAUCUGAAGAGUUCAUCGAAUUCUUCAAAAUAAUUCUUGAAGGGGAAACCCUUUGGAAUUCCUUCACUCUUGAACGAUUCCUAGAAGCUAACCACAGACUCAGGAUUAGUCCGCCUGGUCAUCUUCACCAAAUUCCUCCCCCUCCCUCAACUCAGGGAAUGUCAUCUCGGGCCCUUGCGGCCAAGCGUAAGUUGCUUUCCAAGCCGAUGGCUGAGGCUUGCGAGGAGAAGAAAAAGUUUCUCGCGACUUCUAUAGACAAGAAGGACUACAGUAGAACCUUGCUGGUUGAUGAUGGCAGCACCGAGGGAGCUCGAUCUGUCGCUUCCUUCAGAUUAACUCCUCGUCGCGAUCGUCGCGACUCACGUUCUCCUCGGAGGGAUCGAUCUCCUCGCCGUGAUUCACCUCGUCCUUCCCGAGAUGAUUUUAGUAACGAGCCAAUUAAGAACUUGGUUCGCCGAAAGAGAGACAAGUCCUCUCGCAGUGAUCCUUCCCCGCAGAGGGAAAAGUCAAGGGCCCGGACUGACCGCUCACCUCGGUCAUCCCCUCCUUCUGAACCAAUGGGUCCUCCACGACCGGUUGACAUGUCCUCCUCUUCCCAGCCUGAUAGUGGAAAGACCGCCCGGAGCGCGUCUCCGAAAAAAGGAGAUUCUGAAUCUCGAGAUGCUCCCUCGAGGCUGAAGCCUGCUCUUGUACCUCAAGUCAAAUCGCUUUCAGGUUUGGUGAUUUACACACACUUAAACUUUUGUCUUUAUUAAAAUUCCAAUUUUUACAAUUCUUCCUUCUUCGCAGCUAUGGAGACAGAAGGCAGCGUCUUCCGAUGCUUCAGGACCCGUUCGGGUUCGAUCUUGCCAGAUUUCAACAAAUGGCGCCCUGCGAUUCGUGAACGUUAUUUGCUUCACGCGCAUCACUCAUCUCGGGUUAGUUCCGCUUUCUUUUAUGUAUAUUUUUUAUUGUAUUGCCAUUCUGCGAACUGACUCGUCAUCCCGGGUUCAUGUAUAACGCCAGGCUCAAAGCAAAUUUAACGACAUGAUCGAACAUUACGAAGGGUUGGUCAUUGGCCGGGAGAAGGAGAUUGACAUGUGGACAAAGAAACUCUCCGCCCUUGAGGCCGAACUCAGUUCUUCUGCCGGCUCCAAGCAUGAUCUGGAGGACAAAGUCGACAAUUUAACAUCCGAGCUCGCGCAGAUAAAGGGGGAGCUGCAGGGUCAGUACGACCAGAACUUCAAACUCCAGGAAGAGUUUUCUGGUAUUCAAGGUAGGCUUCAAGAGUCCGAAUCAAACGCUGAUUCCCUGAACAACCAACUCAUCGAGCUCAACGCGAAGUACAAGGCGAUCGCCAAAUUGCGUGACUCCGAGUUGGCGAGGUCGGCAUCAAAAGCCAGAAAAGAGGUCAAGGGACGUGGGAUGGAGUUGAUCCAAGAGGCCAUCCGAUUCAUGCAGACUGAGAAGGCUAGGUCUGACUUGGAAUCUGACAUCAAGGAGCACGAGAGCAACCUGAUCCUACUGGAUCAAAUCCAUGAUGCAGAUUUCUCCGAGGAUCAAGAGAGAACCGAACUAUCGGCUAAUCUUUCUGAAAAGUGGAGUCGCUUGGCAGCUCUUCCUACUUCGACCUUCAACCCUUAGGACUUCGAGGAAUUCUUCACCGAAUCGCCUCCUAUAAGCGAAUCAGGUCUAGACUGGGCAGGUAAUGCUUGGCUCCUGACAUUUAUUACCUUUCCUUUUCUUGCACCUUUGAUUGACUGGAAUUAUUAUUCCUAGGCUCAAGUGAGGCGGAGGACGUUGUCCCGCCCGUAGCUCCUAUGGUAUCGGAGGUCACUCCGGAGGUUGGUUGUACCGCGGAGGGUGGUCAGGGAGCUUCAUCUGAUCAAGCAGCUGCCAAGGACGCGAAUGAAGCUUCGACUGUUGAGCCGGACUCCGAGGUGGCUGCUGCUCCGUAGUGGCUGUGUCCACUUUAAAUUAGGGAUUGUCCCUUUAUUUUUAAGACUUAAUUUCAAACUUAUUUUUGCCUAAGGAGGCUUUAUUAUUAUUUUCUUUUGAACAAGAUAUUUGCCUGAGGAGGCUUUUAAACCUUUCUAGGUUGUGACCCAAGGGGGUUUGGUUAAAAUUAAAUGCGGGUUUGCAAAGUCCGCUUUUAACCUUUUGUGGCCUUGUGGCAAUGCUUUCGAGAUUUUUAGGCUGAUCAGACCUUUCUCUUUAGAAUGCGAGAACUGAGCUCGGCUUAAAGCGAGUUUCCCACUUCGGGUUUAGUCAACUCGGUAAACUUGUUGGGCUUGAGCCUUAGAAACUUUUGUAGUUAAUGCGACGGUUGCCUUUUCCUUUCUCAAGGAAAACGGCUCGUCUUUUAAUGCAAUAAUUGCCUUUUCUCGAUUUUCCAAAAAUGAUAACCCACUCGGAAACGCUACCAUUAAUGGAUUUAUGGUUCCAAGACAAACCCUAAAUCAUUAUAAAUAAAGGCUUACCUACCUCUAGGCUUUAUUAAACAUGACUAUAGAAUCUCACUUGAGAAAUAUUUUAAGAAUGGAAAACGAAGAAGUAGCCCCCAUCGCUCCCGGCAGCCCACUUUUCUUGUCCGGCGACGGAUUUGAACCGGCUGGCGUUCUCUUUCCUCACGCCGUCUUUCACUUCCCUUCAAAGGAGAAGAAAGAGGCUUGCGACUUCAUCGACAAGGUAAAUAUUUAAAGUUUUUGACUUAAAAACAUUUUGCUUCAUCUUAUUCACUUUUUUUUAUGUUAGGUCGCCGACAAGCACCGUCGCUUAUGUGAAGAGAGGCAGCGGCUGGGCCUCAAAAGGCAAACACUCGAGGCUCGCAUCGCUCGAGUGGAGAGGAAGAUACGGGCCUUGGAAAGCGAUCCCUUUCAAUGGGAGUGGCGGAACUUCGACUCCGUUGCUGAGAUCCCGAAGAUGCUUCGGAUGUAUCUCCGCGCCAGAGGAGUCCCAGGUCCCGUGAACGCCCCUGUCUGCGCCGUUCCAUCCGACAGUGAAGAGGAAGAGGACUUGGAGGAGGAGGCCAGCAACUGCCGGAAACGCGUUCGGGAUCGUUCCGAAGUGGAUGCCACGAACAAGGCGUCCACUUCGGAAACUAAACCGGCGAUGAAGGAGCCUGUUCCUGAGCCUCUCCCAUAAAUGUUCUUUUAACUUCUUCACUUUCUUUUUUUUUUUUAAAAACUCGUAAUGGGCUUCGGCCCUUUUUAUUUAUGGAAAUAUUUGCUACUUUCCUUUCUUUCCAAAUAUUCUUGGAGAUGCGUCUUUUAAUGCAUGAUCCAUUCGAGGGCAUAAAUCUCUCCGCGAAUCACUCCAUUCCUUGGAUAAAAUCCGCAGCUUGCUAAGGAUAUGGGGUUCCUAUAAAUUAUAGGUUCAAUUUCCUUUUACUUCUCAUCCUUUUUUUCAUUUUAGCAGGUAUGGAGUUCAAUCUUCGCUGUUCAGAAUCUAUGCCCGACUUCUCCAGAAUCGGAAUGAUGAAUGAAGAUGUUUCAAAUGAGCCAAACAGGCAGCCUUCCCCACUUCGCGGCUUCUCGAGAUCUCAGAUCCAAGCUCCAUGUGCUUUGAUCAGGAAUCUCCCAAUCAGAGACCAAGGAACAGCGACGGCGUUCAUAGAGACACUUGAGCUUCAACACCGGAAGCUUAUGUCGGAAAAGAGGAGACUCCGGAAGAGGAUUAACCGGAUGCAACACAGGCUUACUACAGUGUCAAGAAAUCUUCACAUCCUUGAGUCUCACCCCGGAGAGUGGAUUGAGCUUGGAAUCUCUGACUUUGCUCGAAUUCCGGACUGCAUGAUGUCAAUCCUCGAUCUUGCUGGUCAAGGAGUUGAAGUGUUCUGCUCGUCAACAGAGAUUUCGUAGUUCGAAGUGUACGAUGUGGGACACUUCUUUUUUUUUUUUUUUUGAAUAAAACGCUUUACUUCCAAUCUCUUGUAUGUUCGCAUAGCCGAACCUUCUUCCUUUAAUAAAGAAAUAAAACAAAAACUUUAUUAAUAGCUGAACCCGUUUUCGAGCUGCCUACGUACCCAUUUCGGGAUCAAGCCAAAUCGUAGUUCAUGUACAUAAACAAUGCAUUAAACAUAAAAUUUCUUUAGGUUGAUCACAUUCCAAGGUCGCUUGACCGGAUUGUCUUCUAAGUCUUUCAACCUAUAAACACCGUUCCGAACCACUUCAGUAAUGAUGUAAGGUCCUUCCCAAUUAAUACCAAGUUUACCGGCACCUUCUUCUUUUUUGUUGUCAAAGACGCGCCUUAAUACAUAAUCUCCCACGAAGAACGGCCUACUUUUAACUUUAGAAUUGUAAUACCGGGCUGCUGCUUGUUGGUAAUUCUGGAUCCGAAUUAGAGCUUGAUCACGCCUUUCAUUUAUGGUAUCUAGUGAAUCAUUAAGCAUUGCUGAAUUUUCUUCCUCAUUUAACGGUGCUUCCGUUCGGCGAAGUCCGGGCACAUUGAGUUCGGCUGGUACUACCGCUUCCAUGCCGUAAACCAAAGAGAAUGGAGUUUCUCCUGUAGGUCGUCUAGGGGUUGUUCGAUAGGCCCACAGGACGGGCUGGAGUUCUUCAUACCAUCCUCCCUUUAGAUGACUUAAGCGUUUCUUGAGAUUGCUUAAUAUUGUCUUGUUCGCGGCUUCAGCUUGUCCGUUUCCUUGCGGAUAUCGUGGAGUAGAAUAACUAACUUUGAUUCCCCAGUCCGCACAAAAGGCAUCAAACUCGUGUGAAAUGAAUUGUGGUCCAUUAUCAGUGACUAUUUCGUACGGAACUCCAUGUCGACAUAUAAUGUUCUUCCAAAUAAAAGUCUUCACCGCCGAAUCCUUGAUACCAACAUACGCCUCAGCUUCAAUCCAUUUCGAAAAGUAGUCCGUAAGGACUAAAAGGUACUGUACACCUCGAGUUGAUUUGUGCAAUGGUCCAAUGAUGUCCAUUGACCACCUCAUAAACGGGUAUGGGGCGGAAAUGGAGGAGAAUAACUCUGACGGUUGAUGGAUUAAUGGCGCAUGGAGUUGGCAGCGCUUGCAUCUUUGGGCGAACUUAACACAAUCUGUGAUCAUAGUGGGCCAAAAGUACCCCAUUCUUUUAACUUUAAAAGCCAUAGCUCUUCCUGAUGAAUGACUUCCACAUAAUCCUUCAUGCACUUCGCUCAUGACGAUUUCGACUUCGGGCCCAAAAAUGCAUAAUAGGUAAGGGUCACUAACACCUCGCCUAUAUAACGCAUCUUUUGAUAGGCAAAAUUUCGCGCUAACGACUUUCAUUUUCCUGGCCUGCCAUUUAUUCUUUGGGAGCUCGCCUGUCGUGAUGUAGUGCUUUAUUGGCUCCCUCCAGUCAGCCCCCCAGUCUUUAGCCGGAAUUUGGUCAACUCUGUGAAAUAUCCGUGGCUCUGGUUCGGGAUGUUCGUUUGGUUCAAGAAUAUUCUCCUCGAGUAAUGGCUCGGUUUCUAACAUCGUUUCUGGAAUCAUUUCUUCAGCUAAGACAACGGGUUCCUUGUUAGAUGUAUUUGAUCCCUUUGACUUUCUUCGUUUGUUGGGUGGCGGUUCGAUCUCUGGUUCGCCACGGUCGCGUGCCGCUGCUCGAGACCUUGUAACGACGAGGGUUUCCUUGCUGUCUUGAAUGCUUCGCUCCGAGAUGCAUUCUACUGGAAUAACUCUCUUUAACUCAGGAUCUGAUGUUGACGCCAAUGCGGCAAGUGCAUCUGCAGUUGUAUUCUCUCCCCGAGGUAUACGGAUUAAUUCAAAUUUCGAGAAAUUUUUAGAUAGAUCCUUCACCACUUCGAGGUAUGCUUCCAUUCUUGAAUCUUUGGCCUCAUAGUCUCCAUUAAAUUGGUUAACUACUAAUUGCAAAUCGCAAUAAGCCAAUAUUUCCUUUGCUCCAACUCUUUGUGCUAGUCGAAGUCCGGCAAUAAGGGCUUCAUAUUCUGCCUCGUUGUUGGAGGCAUUAAAUAACAAUCGGAAUGAUUGUUCUAGAAUUUCUGAUGUUGGAGACUCCAACUUGAUUCCCACUCCUGAUCCUUGUUUUGUUGAAGACCCGUCUACGUGUAAUUUCCAAGUUUGGUUCUCCGGUUGCUCUAUCGUUCCAGGUAUUGGUAGUUCGGUCAGGAAGUCUGCUAAGACCUGAGCCUUCAUACUGAUCCGGCUUUUGAACUCUAUGUCGUACUCGCUUAAUUCCACCGCCCAUUUCGCCAAACGUCUGGACUGACUUGGACUAUGAAGUAUUGUUCGGAGUGGUUGGUUAGUUAAUACUUCAACCGGAUGGGAUUGAAAAUAUGGACGCAGCUUCCGAGCCGAAGUUACCACCGCGAGUGCGAGUUUUUCCAUCAUUGUGUAUCUGGUUUCUGGAUCCGUCAUUGACUUGCUCACGUAGUAAAUUGGUUUCUGCUCCCCACGGUCUUCCCGAACCAAGACUCCACUAACCGCGUGGUUUGAAACUGAUACGUACAAGUAAAGUUUUUCAUCUACUUCCGGUUUGGACAGUACAGGUGGAGUGGUUAAGUAUGCCUUAAGCUGCCCAAAAGCUUCUUCACACUUCUCAUCCCAAAGGAAUCCUUUGUUCCCUUUUAGAAUUUGGUAGAAAGGCAACAACUUAUCUGUUGACCUCGAGAUAAAACGGUUCAAAGCCGCAAUCCGCCUAGUCAACCGUUGUACUUCUUUGAAGUUUCUUGGAGAUGGCAUGUUCAGAAAGGCGUUAAUUUGAUUUGGAUUGGCUUCAAUCCCUCUUUCUGUCACGAUAUAGCCAAGAAAUUCUCCGGAUGGGACUCCAAAUGUGCACUUCGCCGGGUUCAGCUUCAUUUGAUAUUUAUUGAGAAUAUCAAAACAUUCCUCCAAAUGUUUAACAUGAUCUUCUUUCUUCAAUGAUUUAACCAACAUAUCAUCUAUGUAGACUUCCAUAGUCUUCCCGAGGUGAUUGUGAAACAUUUUGUUCACCAAUCGUUGGUAAGUUGCUCCUGCAUUUUUCAAACCAAAAGGCAUUACCUUGUAACAGUAGAUACCUCUAUCUGUGAUAAAUGACGUCUUUUCUUGAUCUUCGGGGUUCAUCAUUAUCUGAUUAUAACCCGAGAAGGCGUCCAUGAACGUUAACAGCUCAUUUCCAGCGGUGGACUCUACAAGUCGAUCUAUAUGCGGGAGCGGAAAACUAUCUUUAGGGCAUGCUUUAUUCAGGUCUGUAAAAUCGAUGCAAACCCUAUCUUUCCCGUUCUUUUUCUUGACAACGACAGUGUUUGCUACCCACUCCGGAUAUUGCACUUCUCUUAUGGACCCUAUCUUCAAAAGUUUAUCCACUUCGUCGUUUACUAUUUUUGCCCGCUCCACUCCUAGCUUUCUUCUUUUUUGUUUUACCGGUUUGAAGCUUGGAUCUACAUUUAGUUCAUGACAAAUUAUACUCGGAUUUAUGCCAGGCAUGUCCGCUGCUGACCAUGCAAAUGAUGCUUUGUUUUUCCUUAAGAGUUCGAUCAAAGCUUCUUUUAUUUGGCCAGUCAACGUUGCUCUAAUUCGAAUUUUCCGAUCUGGUUUAUCUUCUUCUAAUACUACUUCUACUACCACAUCCUCUUUUUCCUGCCCACUAGGAAAUUUUUGCCUUAGUCCUUCUUUUGCGGGCUUUGUUAAUUGCUAUUGGAUCUUCAAACGGUGGCUAGCUAAGUAACAACUCCGCGAAGCUUCUUGAUCUCCCCGAAUCGUUUCCACCCCAUUUGAUGUUGGAAAUUUGAUACAUUGAUGGUAUGUAGAGGGGACUGCUUUCAUCCGAUAAAUCCAGGGAGUCCCGAGGAUGAUGUUGUAAGCUGCGGGCUUAUCGAAGACAACGAAGUCCACGAUCUUCGAUACCUUCUUGGCAAGGACCGGUAGCUUGAUUGUUCCGAGAGACAUGGCUGACUCGCUUGUGAAUGCAACUAACGGAGAUGGGGGUCCUACUAUGUCUCCUCGGCUGAUUCCCAUUUUUUCUAGAGUACUUAAAAAGAUUAAGUCGACCGAACUGCCUGUAUCUAUAAGGAUCCUCGAUACUUCGAAGUUGGCGACAUCAAGGGUAAUGACUAGAGCAUCAUCAUGAGGCCUUUCGAGGUACCGCGUUUCUUCUUCAUCGAAUGAUAUUGAUGCACCUUGAAAAUCGACUUCUUCGCUUAAGCUUGCUUUGAGUAAGACAUUUCGUCGAUGCUUUUUGAUUGAACUUAUUGAAUCUCCGCAAAAUCUGGAUCCUCCUAGAAUCACAUUGAUCUUACCCUUAGAACUCCUUGGUUCUUCCUCGUUGGACAAUCUUGGUCUUUUGGAAUCUUGAUCUUUGGAGUUUUCCCUUGCUUCGUGGUAUUCCUUCACAAAAUCUUUUAUAUCGAAUUUAGAAAGAUCGCCACUAGCCCAAAGCUCUGCGAGGUGCUUUUUAAGAACGCUGCAAUCCUUGGUUAAAUGUCCGGUUAUUUUAUGAAUGUCGCAAUAUAGGCUUUCAUCACGGACCCAAGUGCUUGAUCUUCCUUUCCCUUGGAAUUGCUUCCCGACGGUAUUGUUGAAGGGUUGCGACCCAAACUUCCUUGGUCCUUUGCUCUCUCUAGGCUCGAACUUCUUGGUAGGGACGGUGAUUGCCGGCUUUUCUUGUUUAUUCCGUUUGGCAAAACUUUCUUUUUCGUCUUCUACCUCCAUCCAGUUGUUUGCGCGGAAGAGUGCAUCCUGAAUUGUGUCUGGUUUAUGAAGUAUUAAGUCUUCUUUAAACCUUGAAUCAUGUCGCAAUCCUUUUCGUAGGGCAGAUAAAGCUGAUUGCUGUGAGAUUCUUGGGAGUUUUGACAGCACUCCUUUGAAUUUGGUGAUGAAAACUCGAAGUGACUCAUUAGAUCCUUGCGUUAAGUUCCAAAGAUCGGCAUCCGAAACGCUUUUAUCCAUAAGGAUAGAGUAUUGCUUUAAGAACUCGGCUGAUAGUUCGUCGAAAUUGCUGAUCGAACCCGGCUCUAAUUGGGUGAACCACAUUAGAGCUUGGCCACACAGAUUCUCCGAAAAAAGCUUGCAGUAACCUGCAUCCUCAUCAGCUUCAUCCAAUUCGACUCUUCCAGCAGCGAUCAGAAAAGCUGCAAGAUAGCUUUUUGGAUCCUCCAAUCCGCUGUAAGGGUCCAAUUUGAGUUUCCGGGAAUCUUUGAUCCUUAAACUUGCAAUUCGCGGGAUAAAAGGGGUUCGCCUAGCUUCUUCAAUGACUCGAUUGAUGUCUGGCUCCGAACUUGUAGCCUGAUGAAAUUUUGAUUUCAUUUCUUUUAAUUCCUGGCUAACCUUCCUCAUGGUCUCGAACUGGUCGAGGUUCUCCUGCUCGUACUGAGCUGCAAGUUGUUCUUCAUCCCCGAGCUGCGUCUCUUCUUCCGACGUCUGAGCUACAUUAUUAGUAGCACCGGGAGUUGUUUGUCCGCUGGUUUCAUUUCGUGCAGCGGAACUUGGCGAGUUGAAUAUCCCUCUUCGGGUUCCCACCGGGUUUCCUGCACUUAAGGAGCGAACACGAGUUUGUAUAUUAUUGACGUUUUGACUAAGAGAUACCUGGGAUGUUUGUAACGUAUCGACGGCCUUCUCCACAUCCGAGAACUUUUGUGAUAUGUCCGACAUGGUUUGCUGCAUAGCUUUGAGGGUUUCGGCCAAUGAUGUCUCAACGGCGUCUCCUCCGGACAUUAUCGCUUAUCUUGGAAAUGUAGAAAAGAAGAAAUCUGACCACUCAAGAAUCCUGAUAUCCCCACAGACGGCGCCAAAAUGUGGAAGUCGGAUUCACACACUCAAGUAUUUUGUUAAGUGGGAAAGAUUAUUCUUGAGGGACAAAAAUAAAUAUGUAAAAAACUUAUAAAUCGAUACGAAAAUUGCUAUAGUAUUUCUCUCUUGAGAGGAAGAUCCCCUUUUCAUGGCCAUUGGCCUCUAUAUUUAUACAUAAAUAAACGACAUUAAAAUGAGUAAUUAAGCACAAUUAUUUCUUCUUAAAUGUGUCCGUUUUGAUUCUUCGGCUUUAAUGCUCAACGUUUGAAUUUGAGUUGACUCUGAUCUUCAUGGGCCUCGCCUCUUUUGGCCCAAGUGUCCUUGAACCGACUUGCCCAUGCCUUUUUCAUUGAACUCGUGUCACAGUGCAGUCACUUCGGAUUCUCGAAAUGGUGACAACCAUUUCGAACAUCCCUUCGGCUCACGGGUCCAAUGGGCUUCAUCUUUUAUGGGCCAUUACCCUGAUUACGUGGCAAUCUUUGGUUGGUCUCGUACUUCUGGUGCGGGAUCCGACACCAACACCAAUAACCGGACUUUACCGUGUAAUUUCCGGAUUUUGUAUGAGACCUACUAAAACCAUCGCUCAAGUAAGUACAACUUGGUCGGAUCCCUAAGAUGACUGGAAUAUCUACAGGAUUAAUCAAAGAUUGAAUGCGAUCCAAUUUCCACGUCUUCAAGGUUUGGUCGAUGAGGUCAUUAACAUAGAGAUGUGGAUCUCUAAUGUUAAGAAUGCUCUUUGCAGGCCGUGCAAGAAUGGUAGGAAUCCACGGGUCUUCCCAAACUCGGGUUAACAUUCCAGAGCCAAUGGUCCGUCGAAGGCCUGAAACAAGUAGUGGUUUGGCCGCCAUAAUACUCCUCCAUCCAUAGGAGGGACGAUUAGAAUUUCCAAUAUGUAGAGGAUCACUAAAUCAAAAAUAUCUACCUCUCAAGACCCUGCUCAAAAGAGAAUUUGGGUAUCUAAGGAGGCGCCAAAGUUGUUUUGCUAAUAGAGCAAGAUUAAAUUCUUCAAGCGUUCUAAAGCCCGGGCCGCCAUCAGAGUGUGGCGUGCAAAGCUUAUUCCAAGCAAUCCAGUGGAUACCAUUACUAUGUUCAUUAGUUUUCCAUCAGAAAUUCGCAAUUGCACUACUCAACUUUGAGCGGAUAGCCUUAGGGAGAAGAAAACACGACAUGACAUAUGUCGGAAGGGCCUGUGCUAUGGAUUUUAUAAGGACCUCUUUGCCUCCUUUGGACAAUAAUUUAGCGGACCAAGUAUUAAGUUGUUUUUGAAGCCUAUCCCUCACGAAAGCGAAAACUUGAGUUUUGGAGCCAUGAAUCUUCUCUGGUAAUCCCAAGUAUGACCACAUGCCCCCAUCUUGGAAAAUACCCAAAGACUCCUUGAUAGUAUUUCGGGCUAAGUUGUCAACAUCAUGGCCAAACAUAACCGAGGACUUUACAGUAUUUAACUGUUGUCCCGAAGCCUCGCCAUAAAUGCGGAGAAUUUUGAUGAUUUCCUCUCCUUGGAUUGGGUCUGCUUUACAGAAAAAUAAGCUAUCGUCCGCGAAGAGGAGGUGGGAGGUAGAAGGGCUAGCAGGAGAAAUUUGAAGACCUUGAAUUCUGCCAUGCCAUUAUGCUUCUUUGAGGUUAGCCACCAGAGCUUCGGUACACAAAAUAAACAGAAAAGGAGAAAUAGGGUCUCCUUGUCGAAUUCCCUUCGUCGGUGUAAUGGACCCUCUCGGUGCUCCAUUCAAAAGAACUUUAUAAGAGACUGAUGAAAUGCAAAAAGAGAUCAAAUCUACCCAUUUUUGAGCGAAGCCCAUUUUGAGCAUUAGGGCUUGUAAAAAUGACCACUCUACCCGAUCGUAUUCUUUACUCAUGUCCGUUUUUAUAGCCAUAAACUUUUUCUUGCAUGCCGGAUUGGUUCGUAGAGCAUGAAAAUUUUCUUGCGCUAUAAGAAUGUUGUCUGUAAUAAGUCUUCCCGACACAAAGGCAGAUUGAGUCUCAGAAAUUAAUUCCGGAAGAAGUUUUUUAAGAUGGGAGCUAAGGACCUUUGAAAUAACUUUGUAACUCACAUUACACAAGCUAAUUGGUCGGAACUCUGUCAUUUUCCUCGGUCUAUCAGUUUUUGGAAUCAAACAGAUAUUUGUCUCAUUCAACCGCUUAUCGAAAGAGCCUGAAGAAUGGAAGUCUUGAACUACUUUUACUAAGUCCGGCCCGGUUAAAUCCCAAAACCGUUGGUAGAAAAGGGCUGUCAUUCCAUCCGGGCCCAGAGUUUUGUCCGGGUUGAGCGAAAAGAGGGCUCGUCUAACUUUCUCAGGGGAAAUUUCUUUUAUAAGAUUCUGGUUCAUAGCUUCCGAGAUCAAAACUGGCACGUCCCAAAGGGCGGAAUGGAAGUCUUGUGGCUUUGAAGUAAUGAAGAUAUCUCUGAAGUAGUCCACCGCUAAACCCUCUAUAUCCACUUCACUAUCAACCCACAUACCAUCUUGGUUUAACAACCCAAUGAUCUUGUUUUUUGCUCUUCUUUGCUUGGUAAUAGCAUGGAAGUAUUUAGUGUUCUUAUCGCCGACUUGGAACCAUCCCUACUCUUUGCCCUCCAAAAGAUCUCCUCUUCCCUGUAGGCAUCGCAUAGUUUCCAUUUUAGGGCUAACAAAUCUUCUGCAAAGAUGGCCACAUCUUCCUGGGCUUGGUCAAUUUGAUUUUGUAAGUCUAUAAUCAACUUCUCAGAGUUUGUAGAACUCGAUUUCUUCCAAAUAGAGAUAGUUUUUCUACAGCUUGAAACUUUUUGCAAAAGAGGAACACCUUCUUGAGAAGGGAAAGUCCAGCCUUGAAUGACCGAUUCUUUGAACCCCGGUUUGCCAAUCCAUCUUUUAGCAAAAAUAAAAUUUUUGACAAACCGGUGAGGACUAUUCUGAAUUGAAGCUAGGAGGGGUCUAUGAUCAGAGCCCCAUAAUUUUAAAUACUCCACAUUUGUGUGGGAGAAAAUUGUGUGCCAUUCUUCAUUACCCAAAGCUCUAUCUAACCGCGAUUUGAUAAGACGACGAACUCUCCGACCCGUAACGCCACAACUACGACGCCCCACCCAGGAGAACAAGUUACCCUGAGAUGGAACCUCGAUCAUUCCACAAUUUUCAAUCAUACAACGGAAAGGAAGGAACGAUGAUUCCGACCGACGUUUACCGCCUCUCUUCUCAUGGUUUCCAGUAAUUUCGUUAAAAUCACCGAUCAUAAACCAUGGAUCAGAACGAGUAAUGCCAAUACGAGUCAAACGCUCCCAAACUAGUUCUCGGUACUGAACGACCGGAUCUCCAUACACAAAAGUAAUAAAAACUCUGUUUCCAUCAAUAAUAGUCUCAAUAUCAAUAAGCCAAUAUCAAUAAGCCGAUCACUAACAAAACCAAACUUAACCGGAUAGUCCUUUGAAUAAAAAAGAGCGAGACCACCACUGUUACCACUUGGUUCAACAGUUUUUAGUGAAUCAAAACCUAAAGAUACUUGCAUAUUUUGAAGAUGUGUAAGGUCAUUUUUAGUUUCCGAUAAAAAAAAAAAAGAAAACCUGGAGAAUACAUACGACACAUUUCCUCCAGUCGACGAGUCGUAAGUUGCGCACCCGCCCCUUGACAGUUCCACGCUAGAAUCCUCAUGUAUUAGUUCCGGAAGGAGAAUAAAACCUCGCCGUACUAAUAAUUGAGAAAAUACUCUCCAUAAAAAAGGAGGAAUAUGAUAUAAUCCGGAUAAUACAAAUGAAUCUUAAAGCCAAACUUCUUAUUUUGGUGGGCCAAACAGGCUUUAAGUCCAUAAAACUUUCUAGGCUUAGACAGACCUGAAUAAAAACGUAAAUGGGCCAAGCCCAAACCCGUUUUAAUAGCAAAUAUCCUAAAACGAUACUAUCUCGACCUAGCUCGGUCAUAAUGGAGAUGGAGCGACGGCGAGACUCGGUGGUGAAGAACGGUGGUUGUGCGGUGGAUGACGCAUCACCGAAAUGAAGGAGACACGAAGCCAACACUUGUCUCACCGGUACACGAGUCAACCAGUGGAAAAGGAGUGAGAUAGAGAGCUUCCGCCGACACAAAAUUUCAGCCAUGGGGGCCGAGAAGGCGCCAACAAUGGUCGUGGCAACCGGCAAGAGAUAUUUAGUGGCCGAGCCAUAGAUGGGUCUCGACGGCGGCAAGCCGCACAGUCGGAAUAAACAACAAACUUUUUGAAUCAUGUAAAUAAAAUAAUUUCUCCUUGAGCCAAGAACACCCGAGAGUAACAAGUUUGACACAACAUUAUAACUUAGCAAAUUGCUAGAAUUAGUGAGGGGAGUUCAAAUCUAUUGACGGAGAUCCAAGAGCAUCACUUCGUCACCGUCCGUACAAGCCAUCACGAGAGAGAGAACCUUGUUCUGUGAGAACGGAGAGAAGCGGAGGAGAUCGCCGGCGAGAAGAGAGACCAACGAUGCCGGAGAAUGGAAGUCGCCGGAGAGGUCUCGCAAGAGGAGCAAGCACCGAUCAGUAAAGGCUACCAUCGGAGAAGCAACGCCGGAGGGAGAAAGCCAUUUCGUCAAGGUCUUGCGGUUCCUCGUGAAAAAGCUAGUUUAUUUCCUCCUUCAAACUCGUUCUCUCUUGCAGAUCUAGGCCCAAUUAGUACAGCUUCAAGAGAAAAGAUAGGAUGGGAGAGAUGAGGAAGACAAGAGAAGCUCGGAUCUGUUGUCGGAGAUCCGAUCUCAACAUUUCGCCACUGUCCGUACAAGGCCGUACAAUCUCCUCUUCAGAGAGAUGUGUUCUAUCAGUCUGUAUAACUGUUUUCCUGCCUAAAAUAAUUCCAUCAAGUAGUUACUCCACUACACAAAUACUUGCUAACAUAUAUCUUCUAUGUAACUAUGUUGAUGGAGCAUAUAUUUGUAUAUAUAUUGUAAACAAAAAACCAAAUUUAUGAAGAAAAUUUUAUGGAGCAUUGAGUUAUCACUCUCUAUCUACUACCAGCUUGAUUGACAUGUUCAAUCUACUAAUGUUAUUUUUGUGGGUAGAACCCAAAAACUAAUGUUAUUUUGAAAGUUUGUGCAGUGUGUGCUAUAAUUGUCCAAAAAACUUGUUUUAGUACUAUUUUAGAAUAUUUCUCUAUAAAAAUAAUAUUUUAAUUAAUUAUUAUUAAUCAUAUAUAACUUUAAUCAAAAUAUAUAGAACAAAUCCACGCGUAUCGUGGAUUCAAAACCUAAUUCAAUAAAAAAAAUAGAAAAAAUAGUCUACCAAAUAAUAUUUUAUGGAUUGUCUAUGUGAAAACUAACAUUUUUUUGAAGUAUAUUAUAUAGCGUCCUUAGCAAUUUUAGAUUUUUCAUUAAAAAUAACACUUCAUGACUGUUUUGGCGUUACAUAUGUGAUUGUGUUAUUUGUAUAUAACUGAAACACGUCUACUACUAAUAACGCUUCAUCAGAAAAGUUGUUCCCUGAAGGCCUUCUAUUCAGUUCUCCAGAAAAACAAAUACUAUUAGAGCAUGUAUAUGGGUGAUAUCCAUAUAGUAUCAUUAGGAAUUUUUUAGUAUUAUUUAUAAUGUUUGUUUAUUGUUUGAGAUUUUUUAUGAUACUUCUACUAAAUAUGUUUGCAUUGGUGUGACCGGUUUAAGUAUCAUAAAAAAAAAUUACAAAAUCAAAAAUAAAUAUAUUAAAACAUAAGAUUACAAAAGGUAAUAUUAAGAUUUAAAAAAAACGUAGAAUAUACUUAAGCAAAAUAAAACAUAAAAUUCAAAAAAACUGAAAAAAAACAUGAUGAUAAAAAUAAUUUAGUCGCUUGUAGUCAAUUACCUUGACUCCAUUGAAAAUCUAUAUGUUGUGGUAUGUCUUUUAGUGAGUUGAUGAAACUUAGAUAUUGGUUCCUCCAGAACCAUUUUAUUUGUCUGAUGUAUAUUUCUUGCUUGUUUGAUAACCCCUUUAUGUGAUUGAUGCCAAAUUCAAGAAACGUGUAGUAUCUGCAAUUUUUGGUGUGUAGUAUCUGCAAUUUUUGGUGUGUAGUUUCAAAUUUUAUUAUUCACAUUGGUGUUAAUUAUGUAGACAGAAUCCAACAUGUGGCAUAAGUUCUCUGAUCAGUGCUAUUAAAAAUUGAUACUCUGUUUCGUUUUUAGGCUGUUUGAGAACUGCUUCCUUGCAAAAAUUAGUAUAAGAAGAAUUUGGCACCUACAGUGUUUUACUAAACAAAUUCUUAACCUUGUCGAUGAAAGAAUAUACGAUGUAGAACCACGCAAUGCUCCAAGGAGAAUCAAAUGAGAGAGAUGCGAGUAUCCCAAGAAGUAUUGUCACAUAGGCUGCAGCAAGACUCCAAUAGAAAGACACCAUGUCAUUGAAAGAUUCAUCAUCUUCCACUUCACUAUCUGGUUCUUGAAAGUUAUUGUUGUUGCAGGUCAGAAGAUGUGUUAAUGAUACUUUGCAGCAGAAGAUGUGUUAAUAAAGUCUCACUUACACCAAUUCUGUGAUUUUUUUCACUCUUGCAGGUAGAGGGAAUGCCACAGACUGCAAAGUAGAGAGCUACAUACCCUCCAAGUGAGUUCCUUGCAAUGUACUCAGAAACUUAUUCAAGUGAAAUCUUGAUCUCAAACUAUAACACAAACAGAAUUAAAGAACAUGGAUGAAUUCUAAUAUCUAUUGCAUCCUGAACUUUCCCAUGCCCAAAGCAAUACCAGAAGACUCCAUACCCACACUAUCAGGUGUUGAGCUGGAAACUAUUAAAAUCCAUGAGUCUACGGCACAUAGCAACAAUCUAUAAUGAAAAAAGCUAACACACUGCACCUCCAAAAUCUCCUAUACUUUCCAACAUUAAAGGUUCUGAAUUCAUGAUUAACAAGUCAAUAAACAACGACUAUUGAAUUCUAAGACCAUAUAUUCCCAAAUCAGUCUUAUACGUUCAUGAGACAAACAAAUUAAACAACCAAUUCCAUCAGACAUAGCAGAACGAGCAACAUAGAUACAAAAAUCAAAACUUUCAAUACCAAACUCGUUAUGUAACACAGAAAGACAGAGAACAAACCACCUAAGGCAAAAGGGAACCAAAGUUCAUACAUUUCUUCAAAGGCUUAUUAGUGGCCUUAACCGCAGCUGGAGCUAGGUUUUCGAGAGAGAGUUGAGAAAGAGGUGAAAAACCCUAAACGGCGGAGGAGAGAUGAGAUCGAAUCUAAACAGAAGAAAUGGAGAAGUGAAAUGGAUCGAAGAGAUGAAGCCGGAGGGGAAGCGGAGGAGAGAAAAUCGCCGGAAGCGGAGGAGAAGCAAAGGAAUGAUCGGGAAGCCAGAAUCAGCGAAGGAGAGAAAUUCGGUGGGUUUCUCUCGCGAGAGAAGAGAAGAGAGAACAAAAUGAUUUUUUUUUUCCACUGCUUUCGGGAAAACGCAACCAAUCAACAGCCGCCAUGUCAUCUGAUACUAGGUAUCAGAAGUUUCACUGGACUGAUACGGAUCAGGCCCGUUUUAACUGUUUGAUCCUUUAAAUAAUAUUUUUUGGGCUUCUGAUACUGUAAAAGUAUCACCCAUACACAUGGUCUUAGUUUCUUAAGGACUUUUCAAAAAGUGUUUUGCAAAUUAAAUUUCUACAAAGUGCUAGAGCAGAUCAUCUCUAACCUAAAAAGGACAAGAAUCUCACACCUAUAAAAUUAUUCUUUUACAAUGGUGAGUUUGUGUACGGUCCCACAAAUAGACACAACUAAUUAUCUAUCUAUUGAAUAAUUUAGAUGAAUUUCAGAAAAUCUGAAAUUAUAAAACUACUAUAUGCAUAUAUCUUAUGACAAUCAAUAGUUAAAAAUUCAACAAGUUUGGAAAGAAGUUUUUUUAUUUUUAAGUUGGAAUAUAGUUUUUUUUUUUUUUUUUUUUUUUUUAACUAAGAGGGGUUUUGGGUCUAGGCCUUAAUCCCCCCAUGGACCAGGAACAGCCUUUGCUAAUACCUUAUAACAUGGCGUAAAGCAUCCCUUCUACCGAGUUGGAAAAUAGUUAAAAACACCAAAUCAACAACAUAAAGAUAGAUAGGGAUAAUGAUGAUCGUACAAAACACAUCCUAUAUUAAUAAUGCGAGAUGAUCGAUAUUUGAAGACAAAAACCUUCUCUCUUAUUAGCACAUUGUGGGAGGAAGCCAAAACAUGCGACCGGGUGGUGGAGUAGAGUCGGAGAGAUAACGUAUGGUGCGAGAGGCGAGAUCACAUAUGCCAAAACCGGAACUAUGUCCAGCAAAGUAGACAGAGUUAGGGUUAAGACCAGGGAAGUCCUUGGCAGAGAGACAGAAAGAUUCAUUCUCGCCCAAGAAAAUGCAGAGAUCGCCAAUGUCAUCGGUAUAAGGACCAAUCCCUUGCUCUUCGUCUUGCCGAAACACCAUGAUCUUGUGGGUCUUCCUGCAAAGGUCUUUUCUGUUUAUGUAACGUGCGUCUCCCCAUGUCGCAACUUCUCCUUUGUCCGUAAAUCUCUCCACAAACCUGACAACAACACAGAUGAACUCAUCUUCAAUCCCUUAUAACAACACAAAGUAGAGAAAAAGACAGAAGAAUGGGUUUUUAUUACCAUGCAACGAUGAAGGAUUGGCCCGAAGCUGACUCGACUAGUUGUUGUUGGAUCCUGAAACGAGAGAGACGCAUUUCGUUCUUCAACUCUGGUAAUUCGUCAAGAAAGUUAGAGAAGAGGAAUCUCUUGUAGCCACUAACCGGAGUGGGAAAACCGGUUUUCGGUGUGAAAUCUGUUGGACCAGUGUAGUCAGGGUUACAAUUGUUCAAGUAAAAUCUCCGGUCUCUCUCCGAGUAAAUGACGGUAGAAGAAUGGAAAGAUGGGCAAGGCACGUUGAUGCGAGUCCACUCGGAGUCACCAGUUCGACAAAGACUGACUCGUGACCCGUAAAACUUGACGGCGACUACACAAUCUUCUUCAUUUGAAGAUGAGACAGAGACAUUAACAUGGUGUUCAUAUUUGUCUCUGGUUAUUGGAGGUAAAGAAAUGAUCUUCUUCGAAGGGUUUAAGAUGUUAGUGAGACGCACUGUUAAAUCUUUCUUGUUCACCAAAGCUAACCAUCCUCUUGAUGAUCCUAUCCUACGAGAUUUAUAGACCUCCUUUGAUAGAAUCUUGUUUUCGAUCUUCACUUGCUCUUGUCUCCUCGGAUCGUAUAGGUUAAAGUUGACAACUUUUCCACCGCAAGGAGAUAUUCCGACAACAUCGUCGCCGAGGAGGAGGUAAGGUGUUGCCGCCGCCGUGGCCGUAGAGAAUUUUGACCGUCGGAAACAGAGGAAAUGGUUCCGGGCUGAUGAGAGCUUUGAGAUUCGGCACAACAAAAGCUGAGACAUUGUUGUAAAACCCUAAUUUAGGAGAAGAGAGUCAAAGACAGCAAAACCCUACAAAAUCCAAACUUUGUUCUUUCCUUGUGGAAUAAUUUAUUAGAGGUGCAAGAAAAUGUAAAGUUUCUAUAACCGGAAAAAGCCUGUGAAGAAAAUUCAGAAACACACCCAGUAUUUCUAUGCUGUUUUUAACAUUACCCCACUAUUAAUAGUUGUUACAUAGAAGUUCCUGUCUGGUAUAUAAAUGAUCAUGAUUCAUAUGCACAUAUUUAGGUUUGAUUUUCUAUAAAACUCCACAUUUGAACAGAUCAAUACGCUGUCCUAUGACAUAGGAAUACCAUAUGUGCUGCGAUUAAGCAUUAUAAAAUCAAAGGAAAUGAUCAGUUAGGCUUAAAUCGAUAAUCUAUUUAGGGGUGUCAAAAUGGGUUAAUACCCAUGGGUAACCCGAACCCGCCCAUGAUUUUAGUGGGUUUGGGUAGAAUUUUUUUACCAAUAUAUAUAAAUGGGUUUUAGUGGGUUACCCUAUUAGGGUUAUGGGUUUAAUGGAUAAAACCCAUUAGGGUCAUGGGUUACCUAUGGGUUUCAUAACGAAAAUUAAAAAGUAAAAUUUAUAUAUAUCUAUAUUAAUAUAUUAUGUAAAAUUUAUAUAAAUAUAUGUAAAAUAUCUUCUUUUCUUUACAACUAUAUAUGUAAAAUAUCUAAAAUAACUAUUAAAGUUUACAUUUUACCUAAAAAUAAAAGUAAAAAGUAAAAUCCGAUUCGGAUGCAUCUAAAGAAGAUUCAAAUGUUCUUUAAAUUAAGACUAUUUUUUCUUUUUUAUUUGGUUUUAUGGUUCUUUGGAUUUGUGGUUUUAAGAUUUUAGGAUGCUUUUCUAUUUUAAUAUCUAGAUUUUUUUAAUUUAUUAUUUAAAAACUUUUGUUGGUUUACAAUUUUAUGUUAUUUUUUGGAUUUUUAUUAUUUAUAUAUUUUAUUAUACAUAUAUAUGGGUACCCAUAUAACCCAUUAAGCCAAUAGAUUUCUACAAUAAUGGGUUUGGGUAUGUAAAUUCAACCCAUAUAAAUAUAUGGGUCGGGUCAAACCCGUCCAUUAAACACUCGAACCCAUAUGGGUUUGGGUCGGGUCGGGUCGGGUUACCCAUUUUGACACCCCUAAAUCUAUUAAGUGUUGGGGUGUUUUGUAGACAAGAAAAAAAAUAUAUUGAGAAAUGCGGUGAGCGUGGAUCGAACACGCGACCUUCAGAUCUUCAGUCUGACGCUCUCCCAACUGAGCUAUCCCCGCUUCUUAUUUAUUAACUUAUUUUAUGUAAUAACUCACUAGAUAAUGAUAUAUUGUAUCAAUUUUUGGAAACUUGUUUGUUUCCAUUUUUUGGGUUAGUGGAGUAUCUUUUCCUAUGGGUUCAAUGGUGUAGGAAACAUCAAACAACCACUUCUUUAAAGCAAUUCAUAUGAUGUUUGUGGCUUCAAUUAGCCUCUCUUAGAAGGAACAAACUUUUUGAUCAACAAUUCAAUAGCAAACUUGCAUGGUUUUAAAUAUGUACUACGAACUCGAAUAGUUCUGCUGCAAUUAUUCUUCCUAAUAACAAAGUGACCUUAGUCAAAAGGAUUCAAACUAGUAAAAUGUAGAUGCUUUGUUAUACUUCUCAUGAAAAUAUGAAGACAUGAACUUGUUUGCGAAAUUAGUUGCUUCGAUAAAGAGGUUUUACUAUGUAUGCCAUAGCAUAUGAAUGUUCAUUACAUAAUAGGAGAAGAUACUCAUCAAAUUCAUCUGUCCAGAUAGUACAAGUAGUACAUUUUCUCUAGAUUCUUCUGAUUUGUUGUGUCCCAACAUGAAGAUGAUUUUCACUUAUCUAACCUUGUUUCCUUGACCAGCGAAUCAUCACAUUGUCCUAAGAUCCUCUCUUUCCAGUUUGUAAGUGAAUUUUGAAGCUGUUAAUUGUUAAACAUGAAACUUAACACCAGUGUUCUAAAAUACGCUAUACGCUAGGCGUACGGUGGAGCACCGUAUAGCGUAUAGACGUAUAUACGGUCGUUUAUGCGGGGACUAUACGGUAGAUAUUUUUUAUUAAAUAAAUAUAAAUAUAUAUAAUAACAAUGAAACAUAAAUAUAGUAACAUGAUGAUACUAUACAUGAAUACAAAAAAAUUCAAAUUUUCAACUUUACAAAAUAUUUUUAAAAUUUUAAAUAACUAAGGGUCUGACUGGUUUAAACGCAGCGGUUGCGGUUGCGGUUGCGGGAGUUUGCGGAAGCGGGCGGUUGCGGCUUUAAGCGUUAUCAAGCGUUUUGAACGACUGGUUUAGCGUUUGAAAAUUAGUGCGUUUACGGGAGUUUUAUGACUGGUAAACCAGCGGGUGCGAUAGCAGUUAAAUAAAAAAAUGACCAAAAUAAAUAAAAAAUAUUUCAAAAAAAAAGAAAUAAAAACACCAAUAUAUUAUGAUGAUAAUAUUAGAAAAAUUGAACAUGCUUAAUAAUUAAAACCAUAAAUAAAGUACUAAAUAAUUAUUCAAAAAUAAAUAAAUUUUGUAACAAGAUAGUACUUUAUGCAUCUGGUUUAACAUCAAAAAUUGCAUCAAGUAAUGGGAAAAACUGUAAAUAACGUUGAAUUCAAUCAAAAAGCAAGUGAGUUUCUAUUCGAGAAAACAAAUCGAAACAUAUAUUCAAUCAAAAAGCUAAGCAAUACGUAAUGAAAAAAAAAAAAACGAUGCCAUGAAAAAUAUUCAAAAAGUUACACAUGAGGUGAUGAAUGAAUAAAAAGAUAUAUGAUACUUACAUUUGGUUAUUAAUUUUCAUCAGUUUGGAUGGAAAACAUUGAGAGAAUAGAGUUUCAGAAUAUUAUUAGGGUUUCUGAUGAGAACGUGAUACAAAGUGAUACAAAGAUGAAGAUAUAUAUAGAAUUAAUAUAUAUUAUUAUAAUAAUUAUAAGUAAAUGUUUAAAUUUUUUUUUUUAAUCCAACCGCUACCGCCCGCAACCGCAAACGCUUGCGGAAAGGAGCUUUUGAAAUUCAGCGAUUUUGAGCGGUUCGAAGCAUGACGGAGCGGUUUCUAUGAUUGGUACCAACCGCUAACAACCGCAACCGACCGCUAGCAACCGCUAGGAGGGUGCUAGCGAGAUAACCAAUCAAGCCCUAAUAAGCAUAAAAAUAAUGGAAAAGAAUGAUAAUUAAGUUAUUUUAUAGUUAAUUAUUAUGAUUAAUUUUUUGAGAGCCAAACUAAUAAUUUUGUUAAAUCAUUUUUCCAAAUAUUAAUAAAAUGACAUUGUUUUGUUUUGAGUACUUUUAAAAAAAACGUCGCAUAUGCGGAUUUCACCGUAUAUACGCCGUAUAAUCGCCGUAUUUGUAGAACGUAUAGCUUUCACCGUAUUAAACAACUAAAUAGCUAUAAUACAGUACAGCUUUCUACCGUACAGCGUAUAUAUGCCGUAUAUACGGCCGUCCAGACCGUAUUUUAGAAUACUGCUUAAAACACUUUCAAAGUGUAUCCAUCUCAGCACCGAAACCUCUGUGUGAAUCAGAGUAUCUUAUGACUUCAAUUUCCUUGCACGAGUCAAAAGUCAAAACUUCAGCAACGUUAGGACUGUGCAAUAAACAAAGAGACAGAGACAGAGACAGAGACGAUUCCUUGUUUCUCGAAUGUUGAGAAAGACUCUAACUUUAAUCUCACUAAGAAGACCCUUCUCUUCAAUUUCCCGAAAACCAUCGCCUAAAACCCUAACCCCACACCAAAAGUCCUCCUUUGAAUCAACUCUCCACCAUUCACUAAUCACCCACGACACUGAUCAAGCAUGGAAGGUCUUCCGAUCCUUCGCCGCCGCUUCUUCUCUCCCCGACAAGCGUCUCCUAAAUUCUCUCAUCACCCACUUGUCCUCGUUACACCACGCAGAUCAAAACACUUCCCUCAGGCACAGACUCAAGCGUGCCUUUGUUUCCACGACUUACGUUAUCGAGAAAGAUCCGAUUUUGCUUGAGUUUGAGACCAUCCGUACGGUUUUGGAGUCAAUGAAACUAGCGAAAACUUCCGGGCCAGCGUUGGCUUUGGUGGAGUGUAUGUUUAAAAACAGGUACUUUGUUCCUUUUGAUCUCUGGGGGCGUUUGAUUAUUGAUAUCUGUAGUGAAACUGGAAGCCUGGCUGCGUUUCUUAAGGUUUUUAGGGAAAGUUGUAGAAUUGCAGUAUAUGAGAAGCUUGAUUUUAUGAAACCGGAUUUGGUAGCUAGUAAUGCGGCUCUUGAAGCGUGUUGCUGGCAGUUGGAAUCUCUGGCUGAUGCUGAAGAUGUGAUUGAAUCUAUGGCUGUGUUGGGUGUGAAGCCUGACGAAUCGAGCUUUGGGUUUCUUGCUUAUUUGUAUGCGAGAAAGGGGCUUCGAGAGAAGAUUAGUGAGAUUGAGAAUUCAAUGGAUGGUUUUGGGUUUGUAAGUAGAAGAAUCCUUUAUUCUAAUGUGAUCAGUGGAUAUGUUAAGAGUGGUGAUUUAGAUAGUGUUUCUGAUGUUAUACUGCAUAGUCUUAAAAGAGGAGGAGAAGACUCGAGUUUCCGUGAGGAAACGUACUGUGAAUUGGUUAAAGGGUUUAUAGAGAGUAAAAGCGUUAAGUGUUUAGCCAAACUGAUAAUCGAAGCUCAGAAGCUUGAAUCUCUGUCCAUUGACGUUAACGGUUCAGUUGGGUUUGGAAUCGUAAAUGCUUGUGUCAAGCUCGGAUUUUCGGGUAAAAGUAUUCUCGAUGAAAUGAAUGCUCAGGGAGGAUCUGGAGGGAUUGGGGUGUAUGUGCCGAUCUUGAAGGCCUAUUGCAAAGAAGGCGGAACAGCUGAAGCUACUCAGCUGGUUACAGAGAUCAGCAGCUCUGGGCUUCAAUUAGACGUUGAGACCUAUAACACUAUGAUCGAAUUUUCCAUGACGAAACAGGAUUUCCUAUCUGCGCUUACAUUGUUUAAGGAUAUGAGAGAAACAAAAGUAUCAGAUUUGAAAAGAUGCUACUUAACAAUAAUGACAGGUCUCCUUGAGAAUCAGAGACCUGAUUUAAUGGCAGAGUUUGUGGAGGAAGUUGUGGAAGAUCCUCGCGUAGAAGUGAAGUCCCAUGAUUGGAAUUCCAUCAUCCAUGCCUUCUGCAAAUCUGGGCGCCUAGAAGAUGCAAAGAGUACAUUCAGAAGGAUGGCUUUCCUUCAGUAUGAGCCAAAUAACCAGACAUACUUGUCAUUGAUCAAUGGAUAUGUGAGCUGCGAGAAGUACUUCGAGGUGGUGGUUUUGUGGAAAGAGUUCAAAGACAAGAAAGCAAAACUGGAGCAUGCUCUUGCGGAUGCGUUCUUGAAUGCAUUAGUCAAAGGAGGGUUCUUUGGCACGGCGUUGCAAGUGAUAGAGAAAUGUCAGGAGAUGAAGAUAUUCGUGGACAAGUGGAGGUACAAGGCAACGUUCAUGGAGACUCAAAAGAAUCUCAGAUUGCCAAAGUUGAGGAAGAGGAAGAUGAAGAAAAUGGAGUUUCUUGAUGCCUUUAAGAACUGGGCUGGUCUUACCACAUGAAAAAAUCUCUCAACGAUCAAAUCCAAAACUUUUCUCUUGGUGCGGCCAUGAUAAGAUUAACAGAGAGAGUUUAUAGUCAUUCGUUUUUUUUAACGUUUGGAAGCUCAAAGAUUGUUUCCGCAUAUGCUUAACUCAAUUCUUUGAAAGUUCCAAGAGAGUUUGGAUAGUUCUUAUUUCACAUUAUUAACUCAUUAAGUAUGCACAAUAAUAGCAUCCGAUGUAUCUCUUGUUUCUUAUAUUAUGAUUUAUUAUGCAUUUUAGAGUACAGAAUAAAUUACACGUCAAUCAAAACUACUAAAACCACAGCAAGCUGGAACUGUAUCUUUUGGUAAACUUCUGUGGUCGAUAAGAAACUGCAAGUAAUCUGGAGUGCCACAGCCACUGGUUUGAUACUCCGACCCAAUGCCUUCCCUUCUGCCAAGCUUUGAAACACUCUUUCUGUGUAUAUUUACAAGUAAACCGAAGCCCACCUCUGAGUUGAGGUUAAGCAUCAACAUUCCUUAUUGCUGAUUGCAAAGAAUCUUUCCCCUUUGAUCAAUGUUGCUGUUGUAUUGGCCUGAAGAAGCAAACAUACUCUGCCCUGAAUGUUAGAUGUGGAGUAUUGGAGCUUCAAAUAUGCAUGUGACCUGAAUGUGCUGCAGCUCAGUUGAAGAAGUAUGGCGACUGUAGGACCUUCCUCAGAUCAAAGUCGCCUCGUUCUGGUAAUGGCGGAAAACUUAUGUCUGGGAAGGACUUUUGGAAACUCUCCAACAACUAUCAAUACACAGAUAAACCAGCCAUCAUGAGUUUAGUUAUAAGAAAACAAAGAAAUAAAAUUGUAACGUUGGUAGUAUUCCCCCUGAAAUAUGAAAUAAGUAGAUUCUUUUACGUUUUCUAAGAUUGGUUUUUCGUAGAGCUCGACAAACUUCUCUCUGAGUAUUGUGUUCAUUAUUUCAACAUCACAUGCAUGCGUCCAGAACGAAUCAUGCACCCCUACAAAUACGAAAUUGGUAUGAAGAGUACGAAUCUAGAAUGAGAAAUCAACAUCAGGUAAAUGCAUAUGGAAAGGCUAUAGAGCUGACCUGCGAAACUCAAGCCCACCCUGUUGCAGGCAACUGCUGUCAUCAUCAUGUGAGACCCAUCAAGAGAAUGUAUAAAAUUUGGUGCAAAAGCAGUCAUCUGCCUCCUCGCCGCGACCUGAACCAAGAAUACAGUAUGUGGUGCAGAAAGAUGAGACUAUUCUGCUUAAAACUCAUCAAAUCAACCCAAAUGCUACAUUACGAUAAGAUGUAGGCUGAACCCUACUCUUUCUACAAAUAAGAAUGUCAGAAAAAAAGUUAUGGUGAAUGAAAUUUGGUUGGGUUACCUUAUCAGUCUCACGGCUUAGAGUCAACACCUGAAGGGUAGUCUUAACCUGCCAAAAUUGAUGCGUCUCAAAUUCAGUGAUAUUCUAUCAAUUUUUUUCAGCUGAUCAUUUGUGCUCCUUCAUUUAUCAAAGAAGUCAAGAGCAUUACCAAAUGUCUUCCAGGCUUCCGAUAAGGCUGUACAACUGGAAGUCCAAGAGGAGUCGUCCAACAAACUGCUUUGUUUUCUGAAGCUAUUAUCUGUCCACCACAGAAAACAACUCUCAUUGUCGUAACCAUUUGUCAAGUGAAAAUUCCUUCGUAACUUAUAAUUUCUUAAGCGGAAGCCUCAAUAAGAGCAUCACGGAUAUAAGAACUGACCUUUGCACAAUCACCAAACCAACUCUUGAUAGCUCUAGCAGCUUCAAACAUCUCUUCCAAUGCUUUCAAAGUGAUCUAGAAACAGAACCAAAAAAGGAGUGAACAUUCGAUGCCAAAAUGCAAAAAUCAAUCGCAGAUUAAAAAUGCAUAACCAUAGAAAGUAUAUUGUUGCCCAAAUCAAGCAAUUAAAUUAUCAUUUCCUUACUUUUGCUGCAUAACAAGCUGCAUGAAAAGUCAGUGAAUCGUCCUCAAAGGUACCACGUUCUUUUAACCUCUUCUUUAUUUGGUCACGUGCGCCAGAAUAAGUAACACCAUACACUGAUGUCAUGACAGUCUGUUUUACCAGCUUUCUGUCAACCUAAGGAAUUUCAAUAGUAGAGUCCUGUUGUCAGAUAGGAUGAUUACAAACAAGCAUUACAGUGACACAUAGUAGCAGUACAUCUGAUCCUUAUAGUGGUGGGAUAAGAAUGGGUUGUCAGGCAACAUGUUUGGCAGAAAGUGGCCAAUAUAACAAGCAAGAGAUGUGAAAAACCUGGUCGAGCAUGAGUUUGGCAUAUGUGGCAUUUGGAAAUGUUUCAGGAUCUUCCUUUGCAUCUUGCUGCAUGAUCUUGAAAACCCUGAUUUAAUGAAACCAAGUUAAAAUCCUGUCUGAGUAGAGUGUUACUAUAGCCAGAGAGAUAAGGGAAUAUAAAGAUAGAUAAAGUACCUAGCCGCAAUUUCUGCAUAAACAUCUGCCGGCUUUUCACCUGUUACAAGGUUGACAGCAUCUGCGCCCAACUAUAAUAGAACCAAUUUGAAAGAAAUGAAUCAGAGAACCUUCAGGAGAAAUACAUUUGCCUAUGCUCGAAAGGAUGCAUACAAAAAAAAAUUAUAGUUACUGUAAAACUAAUGGCAUACCUUAUCCCUCCCAAGAGCAGCAUAGUGUUGUAAACCAUUACAUGAACCAUCCUUGCAAUAGAAAAAUAAUAAAGGAAAGUAAGAUUAUCUACUUACAGAUGAUGAUCUCGAAGCAACAAAGGCGCCUAUAUAAUUUUCAUUUCGCCAGAAUGUCACAAAAGUUGUUCAUGUACAAGUAUAGAUAAAAUCUAGCGAGUACCUGGUGGAUGGGGAUAUGAGAUAUAGCAGCUUCAGGAAAGGGGCUUCUCAAGGCUUCUGAAAGAUUAAUGCAAGCAGCCAAACAUUGAAAGGGAUCCUCUGCGUUAAGCCACCAUCUUUUUCCUUCAAGAGGUCUAUCAGAAGAAUCAUAUAUAUCUUCCAAGUGACUCUCAGUAAACGCAAUCCGAUCCUCAUAAGCCAGCUUAUCGACUCCACCAGCAUAUAAGUUUGCUAUAUGUAUCUUCAGCCAACGCAACCCGGAUUUCCCAAGAGGCUUUCCCUCACAAAACUCAAGGAUGCCUCGGCAGAGAUCAGACCCGAGAUGGUUAAGAUAUGGAUGUAUGGGAUAUGCUCGGCCACGAAAAUCAACAUUGUGAGGGUAGUAGAAACCUUCCUCGUCCUUCAUUUUACGUGCCACCUGCUCAAUCAAAUCAAGAUGUUUUUAUACAUCACAGCAGCAAAAAAGAGUGCAAAAAGAAGUCUUCUCUUACCUCGAGUUUGAGCUCUAUAUCACACCUUUGUGAAUGUCUCUCAUUAUUUUGCUUAAUUGCUUUUUUCGAUUCCCAUUUCCAAUUUUUAAAUUUUUCAUGGUCUUCCCUUUCCGGCUCCUCUGGAACGGGUACCUUUUGUAGUUUAUAAAGACGUGAGAAAAAAUCAAAAUUUAUGAAAGAGAUGUAGGAAUCAAAAUUCUUCAUUCUUCUGAAGAAGAUGGCUAGCGGAUGGGUGAAUAAGAGAGAUCUUACAUCUUCACGGUCAACCAGACCACCAAGGCGACCUCCAUUAGCCCAGAUUCUGUCCACCAAACUUAACACCUUUUUGUUUAUUCUCCAUUUGGUGUUUCCUAGAGUAUCUAAAGCCUGAUUAAACAAAAGGAAUCACAUGAACUUAUCUGUUAAUAACACAAUAUUCAUAAAUUUCGCAACUCCCAUCUGCUUUUAAGCAUCCAAUAAAUGGUUAAGCUCAAGAAAUAUUAACUCGCAAUACAGGUAAAGGAACUCAGACCUCAAACACUGGCUCCAGUUGCUCCUUUGGCGUUCGUCUCAUUACAGUACGUUGUUGUAUAGCUCCAUGUGUUCUCAUGAUGAAUGAAGGCAAGAAAAGGUGUGCCCCUUGAUCAUACCUGUAAAAUACUGUCAGUAGCAAUUCUAGAAACAUACUUGAGCAAACUGUAGAUAUCCCCUGUAUGACGGCUAUAUAAGAACGAAUGCCAUAAAAGGAUAAAUCUAUAAAGGGGAUCUAGCAAGAGUAAGAAAGGAACAAUAUAAGUCCUAAUUAUUGGUGAAAAGAUCUCAUACCCUGUCCAGUUCUGGGGAGGUAUUAGCAUUGGCAAGUAGGGAAUGACCAUAUGUCUAGCCUGUUUAAGACAAAGGAAAAUUGUGAGAAAAGAGUAGGAAGAUUGUCUCAGACUCAAUUAAAAAUGCCUUGAUCUAUAGUGGUAAAAGAUUGUUCCGACCCAAACAUCACAAAGGUACAACUGAUACCAGAUAAAAGAACAGUAAAAACAUAGUCCACGAUUCUGCUUACUGAUUUGUCAAGGCCCUUUAGGACCAAAGGAUCGCAUUCGAUGCAACCAUAUCUCCUGCUCGUUUUUCUGAGGAAGAAUACAAUAGAAUGUAAAUAAACAGCAGAGACAAGGAGAGGGAGAGACAGACAGAUACAUGUGAAUGAGCAUAAACAGAAAUGCAAAACUCUUACGUAUUUUCUAAUGUGACAGUUCUGAAAUUUUGCUUAAAAGCAGGUCGGAUGUCAGGUGGACCAUCAUCAAACUGUUCAGCUGGAGGUUGUAUAUAUGCAUUUUCAAUCAGCAGCUGAAUCAAACGUGCGCCGACCUAGAAGCACAAGAGCCAAUAUGAUUGAAUCACAGAGAAGAGAAAAAAAGAGAAGGAAGAGAAGAAUUAUUAUAAAGCUCUGUGCAUUAACAAGUGUGGAAGUAUAAACAAACCUUCACUUGAGCCUCUUGACCCCAUGGCUUGAAUGAGUCAUGUUUCCUCACUAAUACUUUUACUUCCCUCAACUUAUUUUUUUCCAUCAGUACAGUAGCUCGUUUCCUCGCCUUUUCCGUUUCUUUGGCCACGGUUUCUUCUGAAACAUGCACAGCUUCUGUAUUGAUCGUCUUGCCAGUUGCAUUUUUUUUAUUAUUUUUCUGCAAAAAACUGUUGAUCCUGACCUGAUCCAGUAACAAAAUACACAAACCAUCAAACCAAUAUACACUUCAUAACCCAUGGGGCCAAGGCAAUAUGUAUCAAUGACACAUUACUAUAUUCACUCUCAAACUAUAUCAUGAAAUAGCAUCAAAAGCACCACGAGAAAUUAAAACCCACCUCCUGCUCAACGGCUUCCCCGAUCUGAGUAGCAGCAUUCACUAACUUAACAAUGCCAACACCUUCAACGUUAGUCAUCAACAAUCCCAUCAUCUUAUUCAUAGUGAUAACAGCCAUCUUAUCAGCCGGUAACUGCUCCAUAAAAGGCGCAUACGGAAUUUUCCCUUUCUUGAUUUUGAAUAGAUCAAGAUCAGCUUGAAUAGCAUUACGCACAGGCUCAAACCAGCCGAGAAACAAAGUCUUCAUAUAAGGCAAAUUCGGUGCAAGCUUCUGCUCACACAUAUCUGCAAGAAUCUCUCGACACUCUCUGGCCGCUCUUUCCCAUUCUUCAGUCUCCAUUUUCACUUGUCUUUGUCUCAGCAUAUAGUACUUUUGUGCUCCCAUUCCCGCAAUAACUCUCUUUGGCGGUGUCGCUGCAAGCCUAGCUUUUUUACGGAUUCUCUCAGUUUCUUUCUCCAUUUCUGUUAUCAACUCAUUAACUUCAUCAGACCCAGAAGACUCAUCUUCAGGAUCAGUCGAAUCAAUAGCUUGCGCAGCUGUAGCAUACCCUUCAAACACAUAGCAUUGACCAUAACGAAACGAGCUCAAUCCACCAAAUUCGUCAAUUGGGUUUAUCGAUAAUCCAUUUCUAACGCCAAUAAGAUUAACAGAAGAAAGAAUCCCACGAACUCUAUUCACUUGAAAAUGAGUACCGGAGCUAGAAUCAGAUAAAAACUUAACCUUUCUCAAUGAAGCUCUUCCCAAAAUGUUCCUCCACAUUUUUUAAUCGUCUUUGUGAUCGCCACGAAAUGGUAACUUCUGAUAGAUUACUUCUUCCGCGAGCUAUGUAGCUACUGGAUUUUGUAGAGGUAUCAAUACAAACAUAGAAAUCAAAGAGUGAAGAUUCGAUGAACAAGACUUGUGUGAAGAGAAGAGAGAUCUGGAGAAAAGAGAAGGCGCCGUGAAAGUGAAGUACACAGCCACCGAAAUAAACCCUUCAUAAAACCUUCGGUUUCUGCUUCACAUUUCAUGGAUCUUUGUAAAACCCGACCCGCUUAUCAUAUCCGUUACCGAACUUAUUUGGGCUCAAAGCCCAUAUUCUAGCACGAGUUAUUAAUUGUUAAAAAUAAAAAUAUAACAACUUAACAUAACAUCAACAAAUCAGAGUGGCGCAGCGGAAGCGUGGUGGGCCCAUAACCCACAGGUCCCAGGAUCGAAACCUGGCUCUGAUACAAUCUUUUUUUUUUUCUUUUUCUCUUUUGUAACUCUUGGGCUUCUCAAGCCCCAAUAAAUUACCCAUAAUUGCCCCAAGACUGAUCAUUCAAUAAGCCCUUCAUAGUAUUUUUCGGUUUUCGGUAGGACGAGGGGAGAUUAGUUUUAAUGUUAAUACUUUUGUUUGGGGAAAAUCACAUAUUUAACCCUCAAAGUGUAACUAGGAUGCACUUUAAACCUCGAAAGAAUUCUACUAACACUAUAAACCACUAAAAUUGUUUUACUAACACUUUAAACCUCCAAACUAAUUUUUCUGUUUGCAAAGCCAUAAAAAAUGAUGAAACAAUCAAUUUAUGUUUGUUUGAUAUAUAUUUCUUUAAUUUAGUUUUAAUUUUAAUUAAUUUUAUUAUUUAUAACGAUUUUGACGAUAAAAAAAAAGUAAAAAAAAAAAUCAUCAUCUUCGAUUAUUCACCGUCUGAACACAAUUUUUCAAAUUUUUAUUUAGUUGAUUGUAUAUGUUUACCAUCUUUUUAUUCAGUUGGUAUUAUGAGAUUCCAAUUUAUCUACUGUAGAGAGAGUAAAGAUACUUAUGGAUCAGUCUAAAAGAUUGUUUCAACAGUUUAUCAAGAAAUUUCAUGGUCGGACAGUGAGUAAACGAUGAAAAUAAAGUUUUUUUUUGUUUUUUAUAGAUUUUUAUUAAUCGUAAUAAAUAAUAAAAUUAACUAAAAUUUAAAUUAAAUUAAAUAAACAUAUAUUAAACAAACAUAAAUUGAUUGUUCCAUCAUAUUUUAUAGCUUUGCAAACAAAAAAGUUAGUUUGGAGGUUUAAAGUGUUAGUAAAACAAUCUUGGUGGUUUAUAGUGUUAGUAGAAUUCUUUUGAGGUUUAAAGUGCUUCCCAGUUACACUUUGAGGGUUAAAAAUAUGAUUUUCCCCUUUUAUUUAUAUGUAAAUGAAAGUGAUACAUAAAAACAUAAGAGAUUAGAAUAUGUUAUUGUUACUCAUUCGAUUAGACCAUAUGCAAGGGGAGAACUUUUGAGUGUGUUCUUAAGAUUUAAAAAUAAGAAAUAAGGUGAACAGUAGUAAAACAGUUCUAACUUAUGCUGCAAAAUGUUCUUCCUGAAGAAUAGUUUUUAUAAUUUUAAGAAAGUUGUAUUCACUAUCAACAUUUUUAUUAUUUUAAAACCCUUAAGAACACGUUAAGUGUUCCCAUUGCCUAUGCUCUUAGAAAGUACAUAGUGAAAAAAUAAACAGAUCAGAAAGAGGCCACGUGCAUCACGUGACAACCUUAAAUCUGAUAGGUUAGAAUCCCGUCUAAUCACGUGAACCCCACGUGUCAUCACAAACAACGGUUCAUUUAACGGAUAAUCACAUCGUUUCGUACACGUGUCAAAACCAGGAAACUGACGGACAAAAACUCAAGUAACCUCACGUAGUCUCUCCCCCAGGUAAUCAAAACUCAGCCGAGUCACGAGUCACCAAAAAAAAAAAAACCAAAUAAGCAACUACAAGAAGCUCGUCGACGGCAAAAGUAAAAAAAAAAACUCUCCGGCGAAUAUGAGAACCGGAAAAGGAAAUCAAGAGGAAGAAGAUUACGGAGAAGAAGACUUUAGCUCGAAACGUGAAGGUCC
This 40405-nucleotide long non-coding RNA is filed under the name Arabidopsis lyrata. RNAcentral describes it as "long non-coding RNA (ALYR_LNC002830)". The stretch from base 2764 to 2836 matches the Rfam family "tRNA". Lineage: Eukaryota; Viridiplantae; Streptophyta; Magnoliopsida; Brassicales; Brassicaceae. The record is from RNAcentral.